Ictalurus punctatus (channel catfish) is the source of this 1055-nucleotide long non-coding RNA. The record is from Ensembl. Lineage: Eukaryota; Metazoa; Chordata; Actinopteri; Siluriformes; Ictaluridae.
CUAUUGUGUGGCUCAAUAAUCAGCAUCAUUUAAUCCCCAGGUCUAAUUAGCGCACAUCUGUUAGUGCGAUUUGCAUGUUUACGAAUGGACAGACAUGGCCGGAUGAUCCCUGGCUGGCCGACAGCGCGGUGCGGAUGAAAGCACUGACAGCUGUCAAGGUUGGAAGAGCGCAACACGCACCGCGUCGACGCGGUGUCUCGGCCCACGGCUACCGAGGCAUCAUCAUCGGCGGAGGACACGCUGACGGCCGCGAUACAGCUACGCUACAGACAAGGUCAGUCGGACGGUGGGAAGCCUCUCUGUGGACAGGGAAGGACAGAUGGAGGGGAAUGAUGAGCGGGGAAGCAGGAAGAUGAGCUUUAGUCUCUGACUACAAGGUGGAACAACGAGGGUUCCACGUGGAAUCUUCAUGGGUCCCCCGUAGGGACAACCAAACAACCUUUGUUUGAUGAUCCCGAUGAAACCCCGGGCAUUUUGACUGGCGUGAAAGAUCGCCGGAACCCGUACAGGGAACGUGUUGGAUUAUUUCAUCCGGCAGGUGCACGCCAAAAUAGCACCACGAACUCUAGCUGAAUUUCACCCAGUCAGAGGAAGAGUGGACGGAAAUUGACAGGAAGACGGAGCUCAAGACACGGGUGUCAUCCUUAGCUGUCAGGACCGGUGCUGUUAUUAAAGCGAGACGAGGCGCAUACCAAGUAUUUAGGAAAGAAAUGACACUAAUAUAUCAUAUCACAUCAUUACACCCUUAUUUAGCAAUAACAAAUCUGAAUGAUAUUAGUAAUAAGAGUAAUGGGAUCAUUUCCCGUCCGUUGUAAGCCGCACUUCUGUUUUCAGGUCAGGGCGUGAUGUUUUAGGUUCGGCUCGGCGUGUUGUGGGGAGCAGGUGUGCGGCGGUAAUACGAGGGUCAGUCCUGCGGUGAACCCAAUACAAGGUGAAAAUCUCCAGCGAAUGCACUCGUAUUGUAUCUGCUGCACUCGAUUCCCUGCUGAGGACAGUGCACGGCAGAAUAAGCUCUCUCAAUUUCUAAAUAACCGACAGCUGAAUUCUUGUGCCGG